UAAUGCCUACGGGAGGCAGCAGUAGGGAAUCUUCCACAAUGGGCGAAAGCCUGAUGGAGCAACGCCGCGUGGGUGAAGAAGGUCUUCGGAUCGUAAAACCCUGUUGUUAGAGAAGAAAGUGCGUGAGAGUAACUGUUCACGUUUCGACGGUAUCUAACCAGACAGCCACGGCUAACUACGUGCCAGCAGCCGCGGUAAUACGUAGGUGGCAAGCGUUAUCCGGAUUUAUUGGGCGUAAAGGGAACGCAGGCGGUCUUUUAAGUCUGAUGUGAAAGCCUACGGCUGAACCGGAGU
RNAcentral lists this ribosomal RNA (294 nucleotides) under uncultured bacterium. Its description in RNAcentral is "partial 16S ribosomal RNA". It matches the Rfam family "Bacterial small subunit ribosomal RNA", at positions 333 to 619 of the family's 1533-position model. The record is from RNAcentral.